Polyodon spathula (Mississippi paddlefish) is the source of this 73-nucleotide non-coding RNA. The record is from the annotation of a RefSeq genome assembly. Lineage: Eukaryota; Metazoa; Chordata; Actinopteri; Acipenseriformes; Polyodontidae.
GCCAAAAUAGCUCAGCUGGGAGAGCGUUAGAUUGAUGAUCUAAAGGUCCCUGGUUCAGUCCUGGGUUUCAGCA